UCGUAAUUUUCUAGUGCUUAAAUAGGAUUAAAAAUUCAUAAAAUAUUCGUGGUAGCUUAGAAAAUUACGAUUCUUUUUGCAAUAGCUUAGUAAUAUUUCUAAGGACCGCGGGGCAGAGUUUUAUAAUUUUUAGAGCUUAUUUGAGCAGUUUUUGCAAAAAUGAUCAAUUAUAAGGACUAAAUUGAAAUUUUACAUAUUGUGAUGGAUGAUUGAUUUGAUGGACCCAGGAGGGGCUGUGUGAUGUGAUUGAGUUGUGGAUAUAUGGAUUGUGGAUAUAGAAGUGUGUUUUGAGCCAUUUUACAGGUUGGGUAGGUCCUAGGUAUAAGGGAGACUCUGCCGGAUUUUCGGCACGACUUAGGACGUAUUGGUCUUUUUCUUUGUUUGUAUUGAGUCAAAUUUAUUAAAUGAUUGUAAUAAAAUUGUCAGGUGAGCCGGGACAGCCUUCUUCCUCCGCCCAGCCGCCUCAGUGACCAUCGUCAAGUCUGCUACAGGAGGAGACAUUUUUCAGAAUAACCUGUCCCUUUCCUCUCAGGUUAUGAAAAGAUUACUUAAUUGUAUUAUUAUUCUCUAAAUUUGUAAUUUAGGACUCCGCAUGUGCUAGUAGUAGCAUUAAGCCUAUCAGAGACUGUAUGAAUUCAAGUUUUCAUAUUAAUAAAUGAAAAGAAAAAAAAAUUUUAUGAGUUUUAAA
Molecule: long non-coding RNA, 688 nt
Organism: Hevea brasiliensis (rubber tree)
Lineage: Eukaryota; Viridiplantae; Streptophyta; Magnoliopsida; Malpighiales; Euphorbiaceae
Exons: 2
Source: RefSeq, a predicted model, not a curated record